UACGAAGGGGGGCUAGCGUUGCUCGGAAUGACUGGGCGUAAAGGGCGCGUAGGCGGUGUACACAGUCAGGCGUGAAAUUCCCGGGCUUAACCUGGGAACUGCAUUUGUGACUGCAUCGCUGGAGUGCGGCAGAGGGGGAUGGAAUUCCGCGUGUAGCAGUGAAAUGCGUAGAUAUGGGGGAGGAACACCGGUGGCGAAGGCGGGCCACCUGGACGGUCACUGAGCUGAGACGCGAAAGCGUGGGGGAGCAAACAGG
RNAcentral lists this ribosomal RNA (256 nucleotides) under uncultured bacterium. RNAcentral describes it as "partial 16S ribosomal RNA". It matches the Rfam family "Bacterial small subunit ribosomal RNA", at positions 524 to 776 of the family's 1533-position model. The record is from RNAcentral.